This 207-nucleotide ribosomal RNA is filed under the name uncultured bacterium. Its description in RNAcentral is "partial 16S ribosomal RNA". It matches the Rfam family "Bacterial small subunit ribosomal RNA", at positions 568 to 774 of the family's 1533-position model. The record is from RNAcentral.
CGCGCAGGUGGUUUCUUAAGUCUGAUGUGAAAGCCCACGGCUCAACCGUGGAGGGUCAUUGGAAACUGGGAGACUUGAGUGCAGAAGAGGAUAGUGGAAUUCCCGGUGUAACGGUGGAAUGUGUAGAUAUAUGGAGGAACACCGGUGGCGAAAGCGGCUCUCUGGUCUGUAACUGACACUGAGGCUCGAAAGCGUGGGGAGCAAACA